This is a long non-coding RNA of Suricata suricatta (meerkat), 1622 nucleotides long. The record is from Ensembl. NCBI's taxonomy places the organism in Eukaryota, Metazoa, Chordata, Mammalia, Carnivora, Herpestidae.
CCCAGGAGGCGCUGGGGCCCGGCGCGCGCUCGGGAGUGGCAGCUCAGCAGCCUAUACCCGCGUCUCUCCGUAGCGGCCGGCGCCCGGCGGCGAGGAGGAGCCGCCGGCGCCGCUGGUAUCCCCGGCCGGUCGCCGAGAAGUGCAGUGGUCGCGUCCCACGGUGGCUCGUGGGUGCGCGGGGCUGCGCCGCCGCCUGUGUUCUCCCCAGCCCCCCACUCUGUAAGAGCCGGGAGACCUCGUUCACUCGUGUUUACGGGAAAUGCUGUUGGCCAGAGAGAUAAUGGUUCUGUUCAGGAAAACACCUGCGCCUGCAUUUCGUGUGUCGCUUCAGGGGUUCAUGGAGUUCUGAAGUCCACCUGGGGGGCCUGAGCAGCGAGCUCCAGGCGCAGAUGCCGCUGUGUCCCAGCGCGCCCGGACUUUGUCAUCGUUUUACAUAUGUCACCUUCGCGAAAGAGCUCUUUGGAUGCACGAGUUCUGCCGGGAAUCGAGGGAAGAACACUCAGGUGUGCCUGUAUUUCCAGUUCCAACUCUAAUUAAGCCCUUCCCAUCAGGACUGCUUUCUAGUCUCACAUGGGCAUAACGAGACUGUCACCUGCCUGGUAGUGUGAGGGCCACCUCAUUCAAAUCCUUGUCAUGUUUGUGGAACAUUCCCUUGUACGCCACAUUUGCCAGUUAGUUAAAAACUGUAAACAGCUGAAAUGCCCAUCACUAGGCGACUGGCUAAGUAAAUUUUGGCGAAUCUAUUCCAUGGACGUCACUGCAUUCAUUGGAACUAUGCCGUGGUUUUCCAUGUGCUAAUGUGCAGAGACGGUCACUACAUGACUUGAAUAAAAGCACGUUUACAGUACAGUGUGGCAAUAUAAUCCCAUGUUUGUAAACAAUGGGAAAAAUGUUUUCAAAAUUCAAAUAUCUGAAGGGAGACAAGAAAUAACAUGGCAACCUGUGGAAAGUAGAAGUAGGGACAGGGAUUGUGCUUUUCAUUUUAUGUGCUCCCUAUAUUUUUUGCAUUUUUCAAUGAGCAUUUAAACUUUUUGUGACACUUGAAACAUACUCCAUGAAUAUAUUCAACGUGGGGCUUGAACUCAUGACCCUGAGAUUGAGCGUUGCAUGCUCUUAGGACUGGGCCAGCCAGGUGGCCUCCCCGCUCAUAUUUUUUAUAACAAAAACUUAAAUGAAACCUCACUAACUGGAACAUUUUUCCAUUGCAAUGCAGACGAUUCAGAAAAUGAUUUUUAAAAUGCAGACUGUGCCCACAGAGAAACACAUAUGUGAGGUUUUCAAAUAACAUGCAAGGUUUGCCAGUACUGGAGAAGCAGAGCAGAUUUGCUGCUAAAGUUAAACACACAGCACAAACCGACCUCUAAACUCACACACACACACACACACACACACACACACACACAUACUGCAGACAUCAAAUUAAUGCACAUCCAAACUUAAGAUUUCAAGCCUUGAUUCUUUUGACAUUACAGACUAGAAACUAUAAUUAAAAAAAUAUAUGAUUGAAAUAAGCUGAAAUUCCUUCACUUGCCCAGGAAGGCCUUAGUAUUUGCACCACAGCCUUCACACGGGGGCGACCUGGCCGGGCAUCCCCUCCAAGCUCAGGUGGCACUUCUGCCUCC